UUCCACAAUGGCUGCUUUAGCUCUGAUAUGUCUGGUAUUCUUGGGUUCAGUGAUAACCAGAACUAUUAGACAUAUCGAAGAUCGAGCGUGCCACCACUACUGCUG
This 105-nucleotide microRNA precursor is filed under the name Haemonchus contortus (barber pole worm). RNAcentral describes it as "microRNA hco-mir-50 precursor". Its record names the gene hco-mir-50. The stretch from base 17 to 85 matches the Rfam family "mir-50 microRNA precursor family". Lineage: Eukaryota; Metazoa; Nematoda; Chromadorea; Rhabditida; Trichostrongylidae. The record is from miRBase by way of RNAcentral.